UAGGGAAUCUUCGGCAAUGGGGGGAACCCUGACCGAGCAACGCCGCGUGAGUGAAGAAGGUUUUCGGAUCGUAAAGCUCUGUUGUUAAGGAAGAACGAGUGUGAGAAUGGAAAGUUCAUGCUGUGACGGUACUUAACCAGAAAGGGACGGCUAACUACGUGCCAGCAGCCGCGGUAAUACGUAAGGUCCGAGCGUUGUCCGGAAUCAUUGGGCGUAAAGGGUACGUAGGCGGGUAAGCAAGUUAGAAGUGAAAUCCUGUAGCUCAACUACAGUAAGCUUUUAAAACUGCUCAUCUUGAGAUAUGGAAGGGAAAGUGGAAUUCCAUGUGUAGCGGUGAAAUGCGUAGAUAUAUGGAGGAACACCGGUGGCGAAAGCGGCUCUCUGGUCUGUAACUGACGCUGAGGCUCGAAAGCGUGGGGAGCGAACAGG
This 429-nucleotide ribosomal RNA is filed under the name Bacteroidota bacterium. Its description in RNAcentral is "Bacteroidetes bacterium partial 16S ribosomal RNA". It matches the Rfam family "Bacterial small subunit ribosomal RNA", at positions 355 to 776 of the family's 1533-position model. Lineage: Bacteria; Pseudomonadati; Bacteroidota. The record is from RNAcentral.